ACUGUCUCAGCAGGAGCACCAGCAGCACCAAAAGUAACACCGCAAAGGAAGCUACAAGAUGCCCUGUCUUUCAAAACCAGUUAAAGUCGAAACAAUCACUAAAGGGGAAACCCUCGGUGCUGAUGUAGCUCUGAUGAACCAAGUGAAAUGGAAAGUUAGGCUGGAGGGAACAAACCAGGGUGGACAAUGCACCAUUGUUUUCUGCCCAAUCACCUCCCGUGUUGGCUCAGAUGUGGAGGCAGCCAUGCAAAACGUGCCAUUGGUUGAAAGGAUCAUCCUAGUCUUGAUGCACCACACCAGAGAUCUUGACUACUCAACUGCUGGGACGAAGUGGUCAGAUAUAUAUCCAAAUAUUGACCUGGAAGUUCAUGUUCUCUUCCAUGAAAGUGUCCCAGGGUUACUCACCUGUUCUAAGAACACGGAGGCCGUCUAUCAAAUCCAAAAAUAUUUGGAACCACAUGUUCAAAAGGGUUGGCUUUGGAGAUUAUUACCUAUUUUGUUAUUAUGUGGUAUUGUAGUUCUGUUUGUGGUCCUGUUCCUUGUUUUACUGAGGUAAAGCACAGAUAAACAAACAAAACACAGUGAGAAAUGCAAUGGUUCUAGGUUAUUCUGCAACAAAUGUUUAUGCAUUAAUCAAGUCAUCUAAAAAAUCUAUAUUAUAUUAGAAAAAAAAAUUCACAAUAUACUGCAACAUAAAUGACAUAGGUCAAAGUAAAAUGAAGUAAAAUGAAUUAUGUAGAAACUGCAAUUAAACAAAUUGAACCGUAAUUCAAUCAGAAGUACAAAUUGAAGGAAAAAUAACUUGCUUCUAAUGAAAUAUUUCUACGUGAACUAUAAAUAAUUUCCAGUUAUUGAUAGUUGGUAUUAUUAUUGUUUGUCUGCUUUAAACAUGAAACCAAAGCUCUAUUGAAGUCUCCCACCCAUACAAAAAUUAUCUGGAGAAUCAUAGUCUGCAUGAGUGCAGCUCACCCAGUCAAUUUUCAACAUAUUGUAUUAGGAAUCUAACCAGGAGCCAGUGGAGCUGCUGUAAGACUGCAGUGAUGUGAUGAAAACAGGGUUUUUUGUUAAUAAUGCAAGCAGCUGCAUGCUGAACCAGUUAAAGCUAACAGUGGGAUUUUUGAGGAAGACCAACAAAGUAAAAGAUUUAAGUAAUCGAUGUGAGAAGUUGCAAUAGUAUUGGACACAAGUAUA
This is a long non-coding RNA of Fundulus heteroclitus (mummichog), 1191 nucleotides long. RefSeq lists it as uncharacterized. The transcript has 4 exons. Lineage: Eukaryota; Metazoa; Chordata; Actinopteri; Cyprinodontiformes; Fundulidae. The record is from RefSeq and is a predicted model, not a curated record.